GCAGGCUGCAACUCGCCUGCAUGAAGUCGGAAUUGCUAGUAAUCGUAGGUCAGCAUACUACGGUGAAUACGUUCCCGGGCCUUGUACACACCGCCCGUCACACCAUGAGAGUUGGAAAUACCCGAAGCCUGUGAGCUAACUUAAAGAGGCAGCAGUCGAAGGUAGAGCCAAUGAUUGGGGUGAAGUCGUAACAAGGUAAC
RNAcentral lists this ribosomal RNA (200 nucleotides) under uncultured bacterium. Its description in RNAcentral is "partial 16S ribosomal RNA". It matches the Rfam family "Bacterial small subunit ribosomal RNA", at positions 1300 to 1500 of the family's 1533-position model. The record is from RNAcentral.